This 253-nucleotide ribosomal RNA is filed under the name uncultured bacterium. RNAcentral describes it as "partial 16S ribosomal RNA". It matches the Rfam family "Bacterial small subunit ribosomal RNA", at positions 524 to 776 of the family's 1533-position model. The record is from RNAcentral.
UACGAAGGGGGCUAGCGUUGUUCGGAAUUACUGGGCGUAAAGCGAGUGUAGGUGGUUGUCCAAGUUGGAUGUGAAAGCCUUGAGCUCAACUCAAGAAAUGCAUUCAGGACUGGGUGACUAGAGGACCGGAGAGGAUAGUGGAAUUCCCAGUGUAGUGGUGAAAUACGUAGAGAUUGGGAAGAACACCAGUGGCGAAGGCGGCUAUCUGGACGGUUUCUGACACUAAGACUCGAAAGCGUGGGGAGCAAACAGG